This 532-nucleotide ribosomal RNA is filed under the name Alternaria alternata. RNAcentral's name for it is "SSU rRNA". It matches the Rfam family "Eukaryotic small subunit ribosomal RNA", at positions 838 to 1372 of the family's 1831-position model. The record is from RNAcentral. Lineage: Eukaryota; Fungi; Ascomycota; Dothideomycetes; Pleosporales; Pleosporaceae.
AUUUAAGAAUAGUGCAUGCGACGCCGCAUGAUAAACAGGAACAGUCGGGGGCAUCAGUAUUCAGUUGUCAGAGGUGAAAUUCUUGGAUUCACUGAAGACUAACUACUGCGAAAGCAUUUGCCAAGGAUGUUUUCAUUAAUCAGUGAACGAAGUUAGGGGAUCGAAGACGAUCAGAUACCGUCGUAGUCUUAACCGUAAACUAUGCCGACUAGGGAUCGGGCGAUGUUCUUUUCUGACUCGCUCGGCACCUUACGAGAAAUCAAAGUUUUUGGGUUCUGGGGGGAAUAUGGUCGCAAGGCUGAUACUUAAGAAAUUGACGGAAGGUCACCACCAGGCGUGGAGCCUGCGGCUUAAUUUGACUCAACACGGGGAAACUCACCAGGUCCAGAUGAAAUAAGGAUUGACAGAUUGAGAGCUCUUUCUUGAUUUUUCAGGUGGUGGUGCAUGGCCGUUCUUAGUUCGUGGGGUACUUGUCUGCUUAAUUGCGAUAACGAGCGAGACCUUACUCUGCUAAAUAGCCGGCUAACUUUGG